This 524-nucleotide ribosomal RNA is filed under the name Enterobacter kobei. RNAcentral describes it as "partial 23S ribosomal RNA". It matches the Rfam family "Bacterial large subunit ribosomal RNA", at positions 2278 to 2801 of the family's 2925-position model. The record is from RNAcentral. Lineage: Bacteria; Pseudomonadati; Pseudomonadota; Gammaproteobacteria; Enterobacterales; Enterobacteriaceae.
GGCGGUCUCCUCCCAAAGAGUAACGGAGGAGCACGAAGGUUAGCUAAUCCUGGUCGGACAUCAGGAGGUUAGUGCAAUGGCAUAAGCUAGCUUGACUGCGAGAGUGACGGCUCGAGCAGGUGCGAAAGCAGGUCAUAGUGAUCCGGUGGUUCUGAAUGGAAGGGCCAUCGCUCAACGGAUAAAAGGUACUCCGGGGAUAACAGGCUGAUACCGCCCAAGAGUUCAUAUCGACGGCGGUGUUUGGCACCUCGAUGUCGGCUCAUCACAUCCUGGGGCUGAAGUAGGUCCCAAGGGUAUGGCUGUUCGCCAUUUAAAGUGGUACGCGAGCUGGGUUUAGAACGUCGUGAGACAGUUCGGUCCCUAUCUGCCGUGGGCGCUGGAGAAUUGAGGGGGGCUGCUCCUAGUACGAGAGGACCGGAGUGGACGCAUCACUGGUGUUCGGGUUGUCAUGCCAAUGGCACUGCCCGGUAGCUAAAUGCGGAAGAGAUAAGUGCUGAAAGCAUCUAAGCACGAAACUUGCCCCG